UCAUUAAUUUGGUGAUUAUGAUAACAUAAGGGAAAAAAAAUGAUAUUACCUUAUUAUUAGUGUUGUCCAAAACUGGUGCCAGAAGACUCGGUAAGACCAGAGACGCAAACGUUAGUCAUCUUAAUCAGGCGUAAAGGGUGUGUAGGCUGCUUUAAAAGUUUAAAUCUUUUUAAUAGCUCUUUUGCCGUUGUCCUGCCAUUAUUUAUUUUAUUUAUAAAAUAAUAAACAAUAAUGAAUAUAAAGGCAGUACAUUUUUAAUUUUAUUAAUAUUAAUUUAAUUUAAUAAUUAUAAAGGGGACAAAAAAAAUAUCCCGGUUUAAGUAAAAAGAAUAAAAUGAAUUAAAGCUAGAAUCAAAUUGAGGAUAAACCAAAUAAUACUUAGAGUAGGGCCGAUAUCCGCAGAUACUAAGGGGAAUACUAAAGGUGAAAGCUUUUUAUCUACUAUUGAUUGACGCUGAGAAACGAAGGUGAGAACAGGAAAUAGGAUUUGAUACCCAGAUACCUCUCACUGUCAACGAUGAAUGGUGGUUGUUAGUUUUAAUAAAAACUGGUAACGAUGUUAACACGAUAACCAUUCCGCCUUGCGAGUACGGUUGCAAAACUGAAACCAAAAAAA
This 616-nucleotide ribosomal RNA is filed under the name Tricholoma matsutake. Its description in RNAcentral is "partial small subunit ribosomal RNA". It matches the Rfam family "Bacterial small subunit ribosomal RNA", at positions 432 to 908 of the family's 1533-position model. Lineage: Eukaryota; Fungi; Basidiomycota; Agaricomycetes; Agaricales; Tricholomataceae. The record is from RNAcentral.